RNAcentral lists this ribosomal RNA (696 nucleotides) under uncultured bacterium. RNAcentral describes it as "bacterial SSU rRNA". It matches the Rfam family "Bacterial small subunit ribosomal RNA", at positions 32 to 715 of the family's 1533-position model. The record is from RNAcentral.
AACGCUAGCUACAGGCUUAACACAUGCAAGUCGAGGGGAAACGAUAUUGGAAGCUUGCUUCCGAUAGGCGUCGACCGGCGCACGGGUGAGUAACGCGUAUCCAACCUGCCCACCACUUGGGGAUAACCUUGCGAAAGUAAGACUAAUACCCAAUGACGUCUCUAGAAGACAUCUGAAAGAGAUUAAAGAUUUAUCGGUGAUGGAUGGGGAUGCGUCUGAUUAGCUUGUUGGCGGGGUAACGGCCCACCAAGGCGACGAUCAGUAGGGGUUCUGAGAGGAAGGUCCCCCACAUUGGAACUGAGACACGGUCCAAACUCCUACGGGAGGCAGCAGUGAGGAAUAUUGGUCAAUGGACGAGAGUCUGAACCAGCCAAGUAGCGUGCAGGAAGACGGCCCUAUGGGUUGUAAACUGCUUUUAUAAGGGAAUAAAGUGAGUCUCGUGAGACUUUUUGCAUGUACCUUAUGAAUAAGGACCGGCUAAUUCCGUGCCAGCAGCCGCGGUAAUACGGAAGGUCCGGGCGUUAUCCGGAUUUAUUGGGUUUAAAGGGAGCGUAGGCCGGAGAUUAAGCGUGUUGUGAAAUGUAGACGCUCAACGCCUGCACUGCAGCGCGAACUGGUUUCCUUGAGUACGCACAAAGUGGGCGGAAUUCGUGGUGUAGCGGUGAAAUGCUUAGAUAUCACGAAGAACUCCGAUUG